RNAcentral lists this ribosomal RNA (495 nucleotides) under uncultured bacterium. RNAcentral describes it as "partial 16S ribosomal RNA". It matches the Rfam family "Bacterial small subunit ribosomal RNA", at positions 28 to 507 of the family's 1533-position model. The record is from RNAcentral.
GACGAACGCUGGCGGCGUGCCUAAUACAUGCAAGUAGAACGCUGAAGGAGGAGCUUGCUUCUCUGGAUGAGUUGCGAACGGGUGAGUAACGCGUAGGUAACCUGCCUGGUAGCGGGGGAUAACUAUUGGAAACGAUAGCUAAUACCGCAUAAUAGUAGAUGUUGCAUGACAUUUGCUUAAAAGGUGCAAUUGCAUCACUACCAGAUGGACCUGCGUUGUAUUAGCUAGUUGGUGGGGUAACGGCUCACCAAGGCGACGAUACAUAGCCGACCUGAGAGGGUGAUCGGCCAACCUGGGACGGAGACACGGCCCAGACUCCUACGGGAGGCAGCAGUAGGGAAACUUCGGCAAUGGACGGAAGUCUGACCGAGCAACGCCGCGUGAGUGAAGAAGGUUUUCGGAUCGUAAAGCUCUGUUGUAAGAGAAGAACGAGUGUGAGAGUGGAAAGUUCACACUGUGACGGUAUCUGACCAGAAAGGGACGGCUAACUACGUG